This 398-nucleotide ribosomal RNA is filed under the name uncultured bacterium. RNAcentral's name for it is "partial 16S ribosomal RNA". It matches the Rfam family "Bacterial small subunit ribosomal RNA", at positions 523 to 918 of the family's 1533-position model. The record is from RNAcentral.
AUACGUAGGGUGCGAGCGUUGUCCGGAAUUACUGGGCGUAAAGAGCUCGUAGGUGGUUUGUCGCGUCGUCUGUGAAAUUCCGGGGCUUAACUCCGGGCGUGCAGGCGAUACGGGCAUAACUUGAGUACUGGAGGGGAGACUGGAAUUCCUGGUGUAGCGGUGAAUUGCGCAGAUAUCAGGAGGAACACCGGUGGCGAAGGCGGGUCUCUGGGCAGUAACUGACGCUGAGGAGCGAAAGCAUGGGUAGCGAACAGGAUUAGAUACCCUGGUAGUCCAUGCCGUAAACGGUGGGCGCUAGGUGUAGGGGUCUUCCACGACUUCUGUGCCGUAGCUAACGCAUUAAGCGCCCCGCCUGGGGAGUACGGCCGCAAGGCUAAAACUCAAAUGAAUUGACGGGG